AAGUUCUGAGGGUACCCCUCACUCAAGCUCCAGGCGUCAGGAAAAGAACAUUCCACGAAGUCCAUCUGGAAGACGGUCCUUUCCCUGCUGCCCCCAGCUUCUAGAACAUUCCCUGGAACACAGCAAGUGUUCAGUAUUGUUCAUGGAGUGACAGAUGUCUCAGCCAAGAAGGUACAAUCACAGGGAAGAAUGACUUCAACUGGUCUUGACUUCAACCUGCUUCCAGCCUGGUUCCCUUCUCCCACCUCCCUACAGCCCACAGAAGAUCUUUUCCAAACUGGAAGUCUGUCCAGGUCAUUCUUCUGCUCUAAGGCUUUCAGUAGCUCCCCCUUAUCCCCAGGAGGAAGUCCAAAUGCCUUAACAAGUGUCAAGGAACACUUGGUGAGCCCUGCUUUCCUUGCUAGUCACUCGUGCACAGCUGAGUCUUUCCCCAGAGUGGAUGUCAUUCAUGCUGUUCCCAUUGCCUGGAUUCCUGCUCCUCUCCACCCCAUUCAAC
This 496-nucleotide long non-coding RNA is filed under the name Homo sapiens (human). RNAcentral's name for it is "non-protein coding lnc-PLCG2-1:14". The record is from RNAcentral. Lineage: Eukaryota; Metazoa; Chordata; Mammalia; Primates; Hominidae.